AACGCGAAGAACCUUACCUGGCCUUGACAUACAGAGAACUUUCCAGAGAUGGAUUGGUGCCUUCGGGAACUCUGAUACAGGUGCUGCAUGGCUGUCGUCAGCUCGUGUCGUGAGAUGUUGGGUUAAGUCCCGCAACGAGCGCAACCCUUUUCCUUAUUUGCCAGCACUUCGGGUGGGAACUUUAAGGAUACUGCCAGUGACAAACUGGAGGAAGGCGGGGACGACGUCAAGUCAUCAUGGCCCUUACGGCCAGGGCUACACACGUGCUACAAUGGUCGGUACAAAGGGUUGCUACACAGCGAUGUGAUGCUAAUCUCAAAAAGCCGAUCGUAGUCCGGAUUGGAGUCUGCAACUCGACCCCAUGAAGUCGGAAUCGCUAGUAAUCGCGA
This 389-nucleotide ribosomal RNA is filed under the name uncultured Acinetobacter sp. RNAcentral's name for it is "bacterial SSU rRNA". It matches the Rfam family "Bacterial small subunit ribosomal RNA", at positions 958 to 1347 of the family's 1533-position model. The record is from RNAcentral. Lineage: Bacteria; Pseudomonadati; Pseudomonadota; Gammaproteobacteria; Moraxellales; Moraxellaceae.